RNAcentral lists this ribosomal RNA (1356 nucleotides) under Triticum aestivum (bread wheat). Its description in RNAcentral is "partial small subunit ribosomal RNA". The record is from RNAcentral. Lineage: Eukaryota; Viridiplantae; Streptophyta; Magnoliopsida; Poales; Poaceae.
AUGUCAUUCGCGGCCGUUCUCGCGCGGGUUAUAAAUUCAACCAAUGAUUCAGGAGAAAGAUUGCAUCCUGUCAUCCUUUCCAAGAUCUGUACCUCAGCAGUGAAGGAAUCUUUGGCAAAUACAUAUGGUGACAGGUUUGACAGUUUCAUGAGAAAUUUUGAGAAUUCAUUUAGCAGCACAUUGAGGACGCUUCAUCGUAUUAAUGAGAUACCUGUCUAUGAGAGAAGUCCUACUCCUGAAUACUCUUCUACGCAUGGAGGCUCUGGGGCUGUAGAAAACUCGAGCGCUGCUGAUCUGCAAAAUCAUACAAAAGAAAUCGAGCAGGACCUCAUGAACUCUGUAGAAAGUCAAGUUGUUCUUUAUGCCAGAGACAAUCGACAGCUGGCUGAUCGUCCUCAUAGCAGAUCCUCUCGUGAGGCUGAUCGGUGCAUUCUCAGUGCUUUUGAGAGAUCUGUGAAGGAGCAGGCUCGCUCGAACGAGCUCAAGGAAUGUGAGAUUAGUCUUAGCAUGAGAAAGCUGCAGCUGAAACAGUCUGAAUUAGCUCUUAGCUCCUCCUCGCACAUGUUAGAGAAGAUUAAGUUGUCGUUGGGUUUUCAGAAAGCUUCCUUCCAAGGGGAGAAAUUCAAGACUCAGAUGCAGGACUCAAGGCACGCAGAAAUCCUGAGGACUCUUAUAGAUUUCCUUGUUAGUGCAGUGGUAAUUAUGUCAGUGUGUUUUGCUUAUGGAACUUAUGUUCACUCGUACCAACGGAUAACUGAUGUUACAGCAGCUUGUUCAGCUGCUUCAAGGGGAUCUAAAUCUUGGUGGGUGCCAAAUUCAGUGUCAAACUUCAAUUCUGGCUUGCAGUUCGUCAGAUGUCAUGUGAUAGCAGCAACACGUAUGUGCUUUGGCAUAGUAAUGAUUGUGGCAAUUGCUUGGUUAGCAUCCCAGCGUUCUGCACUGACUGGAUCAAAUAUGCCUAUAACUUUCAAUUUCAUUUUGUUGGGAGUAAUUUGCGGCUUUGCUGGAAGGUUUUGUGCCAACACUCUAGGCGGUGAUGGAAAUAUCUGGCUUGUAUGGUGGGAAGUCCUUUGUUCCAGCCAUUUACUCGGAAACUGUUAUCCAUCUGUUAUGUACCAUGUUCUUCAUGGUCCCAUAUCAAUAACUCACAGCAAGAAUGGUGUGGGGUUGCCGUACUGGGUUCGCCGGUGCAUAUUUUAUGCUGCGCUGGGGCUUGUUAUCCCGGUCUUGACUGGCUUACUUCCAUUUGCUUCUCUCUCUGACUGGAGGGACCAUUUUUCUGAAGAGAUAAAAUCCUUCUUUGUUGGUGACGAAGAAAUAAACCUUUUGGACUUCUGGAGGAGUAAGAUAUGUUGA